Pelobates cultripes (western spadefoot toad) is the source of this 459-nucleotide non-coding RNA. NCBI's taxonomy places the organism in Eukaryota, Metazoa, Chordata, Amphibia, Anura, Pelobatidae. The record is from the annotation of a GenBank genome assembly.
GUAUAAAUGUCUAUUCUGCACUAGGUACAGACAAGUCUGGUGGGAUCCAUGCCUGGUUCAUUUUAAUAAACAUGACCUUGUCCACGUUGGCCGUGGACAGGCGGCUGCGCUUGUCUGUGAUAACCUCAUGCCGAUCGCAUGUCCCCGUGAUGGAUGUCUACCCUAUCAACUUUCGAUGCAAUUUUCCGCACCUACCAUGGUGACCACGGGUAACGGGGAAUCAGGGUUCGAUUCCGGAGAGGGAGCUUGAGAAAUGGCUACCACAUCCAAGGAAGGCAGCAGGCGCGCAAAUUACCCACUCCCGACGCAGGGAGGUAGUGAUGACAAAUAACAAUACACUACUCUUUCGAGGCCCUGUAAUUGUAAUGAGUCCACUUUAAAUCCUUUAAUUUGGAUCAAUUGGAGGGAAAGUCUGGUGCAGAGCGACUGACCCAUGUGUGCUGCAGCUGAAACUCCACU